GGGAACAGAACAAAGAGAUACUGGCAUACAGCAUCCUAAUAGCGACCCUGAAAUCACUGCUCAGGACAGCACCCAAAUAUCAUAGUCAUGGCUGUACUGGAAACACCCAGGGCUCGGAGAGAACUGUUCCUGGACAACAGCAAUUUGGUUGGGGUGAAUCACCUGCUUACCUACAAAGAAGAUUAAUAACACCAGAAUCAUGCAUCGACAAACAGAUGUUCAAGCAAAAUGUUCCAACCACUUGAGGCUCUCAUAUGCCUUGCAGACUUUUUUGCUCUUUAGCUAAUUAUUUUACUUGAUUUUUUUUAUUUUUAAAACUGGAAAACAGCUUCUUGCCCAAAUUUUUGAAGAAUAAAAAUAAAAAAUGCUAUGCUUGCA
Myiozetetes cayanensis is the source of this 378-nucleotide long non-coding RNA. RefSeq lists it as uncharacterized. The transcript is spliced from 2 exons. The record is from RefSeq and is a predicted model, not a curated record. NCBI's taxonomy places the organism in Eukaryota, Metazoa, Chordata, Aves, Passeriformes, Tyrannidae.